GACGAACGCUGGCGGCAUGCCUAACACAUGCAAGUCGAACGAGACCUUCGGGUCUAGUGGCGCACGGGUGCGUAACGCGUGGGAAUCUGCCCUUGGGUACGGAAUAACAGCGAGAAAUUGCUGCUAAUACCGUAUAAUGACGUAAGUCCAAAGAUUUAUCGCCCAGGGAUGAGCCCGCGUAGGAUUAGCUUGUUGGUGAGGUAAAAGCUCACCAAGGCGACGAUCCUUAGCNGGUCUGAGAGGAUGAUCAGCCACACUGGGACUGAGACACGGCCCAGACUCCUACGGGAGGCAGCAGUGGGGAAUAUUGGACAAUGGGCGAAAGCCUGAUCCAGCAAUGCCGCGUGAGUGAUGAAGGCCUUAGGGUUGUAAAGCUCUUUUGCCCGGGAUGAUAAUGACAGUACCGGAGAAUAAGCUCCGGCUAACUCCGUGCCAGCAGCCGCCGUAAG
This 449-nucleotide ribosomal RNA is filed under the name uncultured bacterium. RNAcentral's name for it is "bacterial SSU rRNA". It matches the Rfam family "Bacterial small subunit ribosomal RNA", at positions 28 to 524 of the family's 1533-position model. The record is from RNAcentral.